GCGAGCGUAGCUCAGUUGGUAGAGCGAUUCCUUGCCAAGGAAUAGGUCGCGGGUUCGAGUCCCGUCGCUCGCU
RNAcentral lists this transfer RNA (73 nucleotides) under Venenivibrio stagnispumantis. It matches the Rfam family "tRNA". From Rfam's summary of the family: Transfer RNA (tRNA) molecules are approximately 80 nucleotides in length. The record is from Rfam by way of RNAcentral. Lineage: Bacteria; Pseudomonadati; Aquificota; Aquificia; Aquificales; Hydrogenothermaceae.